GGCCUGUUCUGGUAAGUAUUUGAUGUUUAAGCGAUAAGUGCGGAUUGCAAAUCCGUUUACAGCGGUUCGAUUCCGCUUGAGGCCUCCA
This 88-nucleotide transfer RNA is filed under the name Stenotrophomonas maltophilia. Its description in RNAcentral is "tRNA-Cys". The stretch from base 23 to 78 matches the Rfam family "tRNA", at positions 7 to 64 of the family's 71-position model. Rfam says of the family: Transfer RNA (tRNA) molecules are approximately 80 nucleotides in length. Their secondary structure includes four short double-helical elements and three loops (D, anti-codon, and T loops). The record is from RNAcentral. Lineage: Bacteria; Pseudomonadati; Pseudomonadota; Gammaproteobacteria; Lysobacterales; Lysobacteraceae.